UGCCAGGCAGCCUGGUGGGUCUGGGUGUGUAAGUCUGGCUGAGACCAUCGGGGCAGGCCGCGGGCCUCGCGUCACAGCAGAGAGGGGAUCUGCAAUCCGACGGAGGUCAGCGCAGAGCAGAAAUGCAUCUGGACAACAGAAGCGCCCGCGACAGCGGGGGUGCUGCGCAGAGAAGCAGCCUAGAAAAGAGUCAGCAAGGGGCCUGGCUGCCCCCACUCUGCGGCUGAGAAAGCAUCCAAAGAGCACAGGACCAGAGGCGUCUGAGGUCACAGACCUCACGGAGGAUGUGGGACUUGGGACUGAGAGCAGAGCCUCAGCCCCCAGAGAGCCAGCGACUUCCUGUGCAGGUGCAACAAUCAGUGAUUCUCAAACGUAUUCUUAUCAGAGCGGAAUGAGACCUGCCACACUACAACACGCAGAUCACUCCUCCCAACAAGGAAGCUUCACGUUGGUGGGGUUGCCAGAUAAAAUGCAGGGUGCCAAUUAAUUUGAAUUUCAGAUCAGUAACAAAUAGUUUUUUAUUUGAACUUCAAAUUUAGCUGAACGUCCUGUAUUUUCAUUUGCUACAUCUACAUUCUGGAGACUGAAGGGCAGCUCUGCAACAGACAGACCUGGGAUCAAAUCUGAAUUCACGGAUGUAGUAUGGAAACAACUUUGAGCAAAUUGCUUGACUCUCACUGAGUUUCAAUUUCCUCGUCUAUCAACAAACCUGCCUCACCCAGCGUUUACAAGGCUUUACUGAGUGAGGCUGUGUGAGAGCACUUGGCAGAGCACCAGAGGGCUGGAGCCAUGGGAGACUGGCAAGAACACAUUAAUCCGCCUUCCUCUCCUUCUGAUGCUGCAGGUCUGAUCUCUGGCUGAGACGCUGAAAGCCAGUUUUCAUCUAGGAUAAUUAGGAUCAGCCUUGAGGGCAAUUGAAUUAAGGAAAUAGAAUUAUAUUUGAACAUCACAUUCCCUGGAUCAAUGAUCUAUUGCCACAAUAAUGCCGUGUAACAAACAACCACAAAACCUGAGUGGCUUUCAACAGUUAGCAUCUAUUCUUGCUCAUGAGUCUAGGGGGUGGCUCAGCAACUGUACCAGCGUGAGCCGGGCUGGUGGGGUUCACUUAUGCAUCUGUGGUCAACUCUCAGGUCAGCUGGGGACUGGCUGGUCUAGGAUGGCCUCAGCUGGGAUGACUUGGCUCUGAGCUACAGGGUCUUUCAUUCUCCAGUAGGCUGGCCUGGGCCUGCUCUUAAGACAGGGAUAAAGGCCUGAGAGAAGCAGCAGACAUGUGCAAGUGCUUUUACAAGACCAUUUGCAUCAGAUUUGCUAUUGUCCCACUGGCCAAAGCAAGGCAUGUGGCCGAGGUCAGAUUAGGUUAGAGGUGCAUGACCAAAAGGUAUAAAUAUAUAGAGGCAUGAAACAAUGGGUCCAUUAUGUGAUUGAUCUACAAUGUCCAAUCCAUUGAACUUAUAGAGUAACAUUUGAAACGUAGGAAGUCAAUGAAUGAAGGCAUGAACAACAUGGUAGACACGUGCUGAGAGGUCUGUGCUCCCCUCAUCUCUGGGAUCCACUCAGUCCUUCCACAGGGGUGGGUUCCUGGCAGCUUAUGCUGUGUGACCCCACACCCUGGUUUUGGCUGGCCAGCAAAGGGGGAACCCCUGACACAAGCUGACCUGGUCCCAUUCUCUUUCUGGAAUUUGGAAAUGGAAGAAGAGAGUUGAGUCGGCACCUCCGUGUGGCAGAACCUGCAACGUGGAAGCUUGGGCGCUUUGGGGAGGCUGUGUUUCCCACAUCAACUGAGGAGCGGAAAGAAACAGCCAGUCUCUCAGCCAGUAGAGAGAGACAAAUGAAGUAAACGCUGCAUAAAUUUCCUACUGAUGCUGUAACAAAUUACCAUAAACUUAGUGAUUAUGCGAG
Equus caballus (horse) is the source of this 1899-nucleotide non-coding RNA. The record is from RefSeq and is a predicted model, not a curated record. Lineage: Eukaryota; Metazoa; Chordata; Mammalia; Perissodactyla; Equidae.